RNAcentral lists this non-coding RNA (47 nucleotides) under Trypanosoma brucei brucei. The record is from RNAcentral. Lineage: Eukaryota; Euglenozoa; Kinetoplastea; Trypanosomatida; Trypanosomatidae.
AUAUAAACCCAACUAAUGAAUUACUAUGAGAUCGGACGUCAAAUUAU